RNAcentral lists this long non-coding RNA (1335 nucleotides) under Papio anubis (olive baboon). RNAcentral's name for it is "lncRNA (ENSPANG00000047964.1)". Lineage: Eukaryota; Metazoa; Chordata; Mammalia; Primates; Cercopithecidae. The record is from RNAcentral.
AUGGGGCCACUUGUAUGCAAAUUUUCUUCUCCCUCUGCCACCCCUGUGACAGCAAUACUAACCCCUCCGCUUCCUCCAUCUCCUCAGCCUACUCCACGUGAAGACGAUGAGGAUGAAGACCUUUAUAAUGAUCCAUUUCCACUUAAUGAAUUGAAAGACAUGGAUUAUGAAGGCUCCAGCAUUACUGAAUUUGUACUCGGUUUGCCGAGGUUUGGCUCAGCUCCGCAUCAGGGAGGGCCCAUAUGGAGACUCAAGAUCAGCCUGGACUCUCCGCAUGCUGGAUUCUCAAGGUCCCAGGUUGAAAGAGAGAAAGAGUGAGACUGACAGAAAGAGGCAGAGAGAAAGAACGGAAGUGGGGACCAGAUAUUUACUCCACACACAGUUGACAGCGGGUAUAAAAUCUCAGUGGUGAAUUGAAAGAAAUUUUGGUAGUAGCUUAGAAUUUAAAAUAUAGAUACUCUUUGACCCAGCAGUUCCACAUCUUAUUUACUUGCAAGGAAAACUCAUGGAUAUGCAGAAAACAUACAACGAUGUUCAUUGCAAACACUGCUUGUUCUAGCAAAGAAUUGAAAGAACUGAGAGAAAACCAAUGGUUAAAUAUACUAUGGCACAUCACUGGCUAAAUAAAUAUACUAUAACUUAUUCAUAUCUUAAGAUACUAUAUAGAAGAUAAAAACUAAUUAGAUACAUAUGUACUGAUGUGGAUGUUUAGUGAGAAGACAUGUUUAAAAUUAAAAUAGUAUCAUAUAUUGUUAUAUAAAAAUAAGCAAAGAACUAACUGCUUUACUUGACAAAGGACAUUUUUGGUAAAGGGUGAGCAAACCAAGAAAGAGAUACACCUUCAAUUUAUCUUUUCGAGAGUUUUGUUGCCAAAUGCAUCUUGAGUAUUGCCACAAGAAAACUGAAAUAAAGAAGAUACUAGAUGUUACCCUUUUCCUUUAUGGAAAAGUGAAAGGAACAAUCCCUGAGAGUGAAGAACAAAAUACAAGCAAUUACAUCAGAAAGGAACCCUGCAGCUUGUGUUCUCUCUCUCUCUUAUCCUUGCCCAAGGAGCAGAGCAGUCAUCGACAGCAAGCAGUGGCUACCACCAGGUGGCACCACCUACCUGCCAACUUCUUGCUCAGGAGAGCUACUGCAGCUUUUCAUUGAGUUUCUCCUCACUCUGUUCAGAAACAUUUCUCUAGUAACCUACUGUAGAAUUGAUCCCCAAACGUAUAAAGAUCUGCCCUCUGCCUUACUUGGCACUAGGAAUUUUAUUCCUAUUUUGUUGAUGGACAGAUUUCUCCCACCUCCAUCCCUACAACCAAUAUAUAUAUUUUAAAAAUGCAUAAUUAC